RNAcentral lists this long non-coding RNA (606 nucleotides) under Chrysemys picta bellii (western painted turtle). Its description in RNAcentral is "lncRNA (ENSCPBG00000015525.1)". Lineage: Eukaryota; Metazoa; Chordata; Testudines; Emydidae. The record is from RNAcentral.
GGGACCAAGAGGUCGGGGCAGAGGAAGAGGUGGCAGAGAUUUUGGAAACAAGGGACAGCUUUCAUAUGUCAGAGGGAAAAUGCGAGGCAAAACAAUUAAUGGCAUUGGGCCCAUGAGACGUGGGAUAGGAAGAAUGCAUCCAUAUCCUGACCCCCGAGGCCAAAGAGGAGGCAGAGGGGGGCCACCUCUUUUAUCACUCCCACCCCUGAGAGGAAUGAUGAGAGAUCCUUUCUCACUUCCACCACCAAGGCAAUAUGAGAUUGUUUGAUUGGACUUGUCUGUGCAGACAUGGACUUCCUCCACCACCACCAGGACCAAUGGGCUUCAGAGGCAGGCCACUCCACCCCAGAGCCAGAGGGAUGCUGCAGAUGCCAAGAGGUCGAUUCACUCCACCAAGAAGCUUUCCCAAUGGACCCGAUGUACCAUCCCCUCCGCCACCUGGACGGGGCCAGAGAUGGCCUGGACCACCAGGUGGCAGACACUAUUAAAGAGGCUUAUUCUUUAAAUUGUAUAGCAGGGUGCUUUCUUGUUAUCUUAAAACCAUUUGAAAUGGCUGGACUAAGAACUGCCUAUAAAACGUUAAAGAUGGUAAAGAAUAUUAAUUGA